This 57-nucleotide microRNA precursor is filed under the name Pongo abelii (Sumatran orangutan). Its description in RNAcentral is "Pab-Mir-504-v2_pre stem-loop". It matches the Rfam family "mir-504 microRNA precursor family", at positions 12 to 68 of the family's 78-position model. The record is from RNAcentral. RNAcentral also lists the same sequence under 1 other name. Lineage: Eukaryota; Metazoa; Chordata; Mammalia; Primates; Hominidae.
GACCCUGGUCUGCACUCUAUCUGUAUUCUUACUGAAGGGAGUGCAGGGCAGGGUUUC